GCAACUUUAUAAAUAUUUUAUAACAAAUAUUUGGACAAAAUAUUUUACAGGUCUGAACGUAGCUUAAGUUGCAAGUAAGAAAUCCUACUAGGACAAUCGGGUGACAUUGAUUUGUGUGGACCGUUGCAAUUAAAUCAGAUGUACGUAAACUUACUUCCCACGAUAACUUCAUCCUUGGUGGUGAUUUCAAUAGUAGGCACAGAAAUUGGGGAUGUCUGAGAAAUAACUGCUGGGGAGACAACCUUCCACGCUGGACUUUUUCAUAAAUAUGUCACAAAAUUUUUCAGCAGUAAGGACACUCAAUGACCUAUCGUCAGACCACCUUCCAAUUAUUUCUAACGUUAGCUUGAUAGUAAAUAGAAUUGUAAAAAGUUAUCCAGAGUUUCGCAAAGCAAGUUGGAAAUCGGUUACGAAUUAUAUAAACAGAAAUCUUUCCACAACUGUGAAUAUAAAUGACGUAUCGCACGAAUACCAAAUUGAUAAUAUGAUAACAAAUUUUAAUAAAGUCAUUUAUGACUCUAUUGAAGCUUGUGUCCUAAAAAAAACAACCAAUAAAAACGGAUACCACUAUACCAGAUAACAUAAGGAUUCUGAUCCAACAUCGUAAUAUCUACAGGAGAAAUUGGAAACGUUUCAGGGAUAUCAACGACCAUAACCGAAUGACUUAAAUAAAAAAAUUAGAGUGGAACUAAAUAAAUUACGAAAUCUAUCAUGGAACAAUAUGUUAUAUACUCUAGACAAAUCCUCACGCCCAUUCUUGAAAAUUUCCAAAAUUCUUAAGAAGAAAACAAAAAACAUUCCUAUCCUAAAACACAAUGGCGUAGUUUACUAUACCCAGCAGGAAAAAUGUGACUUACUCGCUCAACAAUUUAGUUCAAAUCAUAACAUGUCAUCACAUCUUAGCGAUGCUACAACGAUUGCAUACGUGAACAACACAGUAAACGUUAUAAGAAAUACUAUUGUUGCACCUAACACAGACUAUUUUAUUACCACAUCUAAAACUGUCGAUCUUAUAAAACGUUUAAAAAAUAAAAAAUCUCCUGGUAUUAACAACAUAUGUUUAAAAAAAACUUCCCAAAAAAGGUAUAAAAUUCCUUACGCUUAUUUUUAAUUGUUGUCUUAAAUUAUGUUAUUUUCCCCAAAUUUGGAAAAACGCCAAAACCAUACCAAUUGGUAAACCAAAUAAACCUGCAGAUUCACCAUUAUCUUAUAGACCAAUCAGCCUACUUUCAGCUAUAAGCAAAUUACUUGAGAAAAUAUUGAAAGAAAAAUUAACCACAUUUAUAGAAGAUAAAAAUAUACUACCUCCACAACAAUUUGGAUUUAGAAAUGAAUACAACACUUCACAACCUUUACUGAAAAUUAGAAAGUUUGUUAAAAAACAAUUUUAAAAAUGAAAAAUCGACUGGAAUGGUUUUAUUGGAUAUUAAAUCGGCACAACGGCCUUAUUUUCAAAUUAAACCAAUAUAAAUUUCCAAUCGAAAUUGUUAAAAUUAUUCAAAAUUUUUUAUAUAAUAGGUCAUUUUCCGUUUUUAUGGGUUCAACUUCCUCCCAACUUAUUAACAUCUCAUCUGGAUGUCCACAAGGCCUCCCCUAUUCUUUACAACAUAUUUACUGCAGAUAUUCCAAGUGUACCGAACUGUAUUACGUCCAUAUUUGCAGAUGAUACAUCGAUAUUCACCGCAGACUUUAUAUCAGUUGAUAUAAUAUCCACUUUAGAAAAUGCCCUAGCAUCUUUUAAUACAUAUUUUAAAAAAUGGAAAAUCCUUGUAAAUCCUGACAAAACACAGUCUAUUUAUUUUUCUAGGAAACGUAAACCCUGUUUCCUACCUCAAAGACCAUUGCGAUUCUUAAAUGAAAAUAUUGACUGGAUAAAAAACUAACCUUCAAUGAUCACAUAUCAUUUACUAUAAACAAAAUACAUAAAAUCAUAAAUAUUCUAUAUCCCCUAAUAAAUAGGAACUCAAAAUUAAACUUAGAAAACAAAAAACUUAUAAUAAAAGUAAUUUUCUAUCCUGUAAUGUUUUACGCCGCCGCUGUAUGGUCGACUACUGCUAAUGUUCAUAUUAGUAAACUACAAGUAACUCAAAACAAGUUACUUAAAAUGUUGUACAAGCUACCCUGGCACUAUUCCACCCGACGACUACACAGCCUAUCUGGCUUUGAUCUUGUUUAUGAGAAGAUAAAUAAAAUAACCACAAAUUUUAACAGAAAAUGCGAAUUGUCUACGUAUUGUCACAUUAAUGAACUGGUUUCAGCAUAAUUUUAUUCCGCUAACAUAAUUAUUCCUAAGCUUUUCAUAAAGGUUUUUUUAAUUUUUCCUUUCCAUCAAUAUUAAUUAAAACACUUAUGUUAUAAAUAUUUUUCCUAAUUAACAAAGUAGAAAAGGAUUUUAAAUUUUCCUAAACUCUUUAGAAAUUAAGACUACUGUAAAGCAAACAAUUUAUAAUACCAUAAUAAAAUAAUAAAUAAAUUACGAUUUUUGACAACA
Molecule: long non-coding RNA, 2491 nt
Organism: Lucilia cuprina (Australian sheep blowfly)
Lineage: Eukaryota; Metazoa; Arthropoda; Insecta; Diptera; Calliphoridae
Exons: 2
Source: RefSeq, a predicted model, not a curated record